This 422-nucleotide ribosomal RNA is filed under the name uncultured bacterium. RNAcentral describes it as "partial 16S ribosomal RNA". It matches the Rfam family "Bacterial small subunit ribosomal RNA", at positions 359 to 773 of the family's 1533-position model. The record is from RNAcentral.
GAAUUUUGGACAAUGGGCGAAAGCCUGAUCCAGCACUGCCGCGUGCAGGAUGAAGGCCUUCGGGUUGUAAACUGCUUUUGUACGGAACGAAAAGCCUUUGGUUAAUACCCUGGAGUCAUGACGGUACCGUAAGCAUAAUCCCCGGCCAACUACGUGCCCGUAGCCGCGGUAAUACGGAGGGUGCAAGCGUGAAUCGGAAUUACUGGGCGUAAAGCGUGCGCAGGCGGUGUUGUAAGACAGAGGUGAAAGCCCCGGGCUCAACCUGGGAACUGCCUUUGUGACUGCAAGGCUAGAGUACGGCAGAGGGGGGUGGAAUUCCGCGUGUAGCAGUGAAAUGCGUAGAUAUGCGGAGGAACACCGAUGGCGAAGGCAACCCCCUGGGCCUGUACUGACGCUCAUGCACGAAAGCGUGGGGAGCAAAC